This 558-nucleotide ribosomal RNA is filed under the name uncultured bacterium. RNAcentral describes it as "bacterial SSU rRNA". It matches the Rfam family "Bacterial small subunit ribosomal RNA", at positions 98 to 687 of the family's 1533-position model. The record is from RNAcentral.
GCGCACGGGUGAGUAACACGUGAAUGAUCUACCUCCGAGUGGGGAAUAACUGAGAGAAAUCUUAGGCUAAUACCGCAUAAUACCCACGGGUCAAAGCAGCAAUGCGCUUGGAGAGGAGUUCGCGGCCGAUUAGUUAGUUGGCGGGGUAAUGGCCCACCAAGACAGUGAUCUGUAUCCGGCCUGAGAGGGCGCACGGACACACUGGAACUGAAACACGGUCCAGACUCCUACGGGAGGCAGCAGUGGGGAAUUUUGCGCAAUGGGGGAAACCCUGACGCAGCAACGCCGCGUGGAGGAUGAAGCCCCUUGGGGCGUAAACUCCUUUCGAUCGGGAAGAUAAUGACGGUACCGGAAGAAGAAGCCCCGGCUAACUUCGUGCCAGCAGCCGCGGUAAUACGAGGGGGGCGAGCGUUGUUCGGAAUUAUUGGGCGUAAAGGGCGCGUAGGCGGUUGGACAAGUCUUGUGUGAAACCUUCAGGCUCAACUUGAAGUCUGCACGGGAAACUGUCCGGCUUGAGUGUGGGAGAGGUGCGUGGAAUUCCCGGUGCAGCGGUGAAAU